UGAUACCGUACUUACCAAUAAAUUAUACAUGUUUUUUGUUUUUCUGUUACGUUUUAGAGCCCACCGCUACCAGAUUCCUGGUUGUAAACAGUUGCGAUUCAGAGUCUACUGCCAGUGAUAAAUGUUCAAACAAGGGUGACUACUAUUAGUGCAGUAUAUGCCAAAAAAAGUUCUUAUUCAACUUGCUGUAUCUGCGGUAUCUGUAAAUGGAUUCAAAAAGGAACUAGAUUGAGCAAUAAUCAUUGAAGUUUAUUUCACAACUAAUGGAAGUGGUAAUGAAUUUAGAUAUUAUGGUGAAAUGAUGAUUUGAAAUAAAGGAUUCUAACUACAAUCAGCAAAGCAGACAACAUAAAUAUUAUUUAUUUACAUUUUUAUUAAUUGUUUAAAUAUUAGGCAUCUUACAUAUUGCUUUUCUCCAG
Molecule: long non-coding RNA, 419 nt
Filed under: Rhopalosiphum maidis (corn leaf aphid)
Lineage: Eukaryota; Metazoa; Arthropoda; Insecta; Hemiptera; Aphididae
Description: uncharacterized LOC113554777
Source: RNAcentral